CACGUAGGGCGCAAGCGUUGUCCGGAAUUAUUGGGCGUAAAGAGCUCGUAGGCGGACUGUCACGUCUGCUGUGAAAAGCUGGGGCUUAACCCUGGCCUUGCAGUGGAUACGGGCAGACUAGAGGUAGGUAGGGGAGAAUGGAAUUCCCGGUGUAGCGGUGAAAUGCGUAGAUAUCUGGAGGAACACCGGUGGCGAAGGCGGCAUCCUGGACCAACACUGACGCUGAGUGAGCGAAAGCCAGGGGAGCAAACGGG
RNAcentral lists this ribosomal RNA (254 nucleotides) under uncultured bacterium. RNAcentral's name for it is "partial 16S ribosomal RNA". It matches the Rfam family "Bacterial small subunit ribosomal RNA", at positions 524 to 776 of the family's 1533-position model. The record is from RNAcentral.